GACGAACGCUGGCGGCGUGCUUAACACAUGCAAGUCGAACGAUGAAGCCCAGCUUGCUGGGUGGAUUAGUGGCGAACGGGUGAGUAACACGUGGGCAACCUGCCCCAAACUCUGGGGUAACUCCUCGAAAGAGGUGCUAAUACCGGAUACGAACUAGACAGACAUCUGUACUAGUUGGAAAGUUUUUCGGUUUGGGAUGGGCCCGCGGCCUAUCAGCUUGUUGGUGAGGUAACGGCUCACCAAGGCUACGACGGGUAACCGGCCUGAGAGGGCGACCGGUCACACUGGGACUGAGACACGGCCCAGACUCCUACGGGAGGCAGCAGUGGGGAAUAUUGCGCAAUGGGCGAAAGCCUGACGCAGCGACGCCGCGUGAGGGAUGAAGGUCUUCGGAUCGUAAACCUCUUUCAGUAGGGACGAAGCGAAAGUGACGGUACCUAAAGAAGAAGCACCGGCUAACUACGUGCCAGCCGCCGCCGUAA
This 482-nucleotide ribosomal RNA is filed under the name uncultured bacterium. RNAcentral's name for it is "partial 16S ribosomal RNA". It matches the Rfam family "Bacterial small subunit ribosomal RNA", at positions 28 to 523 of the family's 1533-position model. The record is from RNAcentral.